Molecule: ribosomal RNA, 301 nt
Filed under: uncultured bacterium
Lineage: Bacteria
Description: partial 16S ribosomal RNA
Rfam family: Bacterial small subunit ribosomal RNA
Source: RNAcentral
CAGUCGCCGCGGUAAUACGAAGGGGGCUAGCGUUGCUCGGAAUUACUGGGCGUAAAGGGAGCGUAGGCGGACAUUUAAGUCAGGGGUGAAAUCCCAGAGCUCAACUCUGGAACUGCCUUUGAUACUGGGUGUCUUGAGUGUGAUAGAGGUAUGUGGAACUCCGAGUGUAGAGGUGAAAUUCGUAGAUAUUCGGGAGAACAUCAGUGGCGAAGGCGACAUACUGGAUCAUUACUGACGCUGAGGCUCGAAAGCGUGGGGAGCAAACAGGAUUAGAUACCCCAGUAGUCCCUGUCUCUUAUAU